Molecule: long non-coding RNA, 891 nt
Organism: Papaver somniferum (opium poppy)
Lineage: Eukaryota; Viridiplantae; Streptophyta; Magnoliopsida; Ranunculales; Papaveraceae
Exons: 3
Source: RefSeq, a predicted model, not a curated record
CCAAAUCGUUACACACAACCCUAAACUCGAUGAUUCGUUUUGUUUCUCCGUCAAAACUCGAGGAUAUUUCCUCUGAUUCUCCCGUUCACCUGAGAAGAAAAUCAACAAAGCAGCGGAUGUUGCUGCUGCUGAUUCAGAUCGAAACAUAAGCAGAGAUUGAGAGAUUAAAGAGAGAGAUUAAGAGUGAAUCAGAAAAACAUCUGACUUCCAUUUACCAAUAACAACAGCGAAUCCUAGAAAUUGAUUCUUCUCUGUUCAUGAAUUACAUCUCCAAUUACUUCUCAAACCCUAACUACAAUCUCGAAUUCAAAUUAAACCAAUUUCUUACAACCACAUGAACUCUUAGAUUCAUUCUUAAUCUUCUCUAAUUCCACUCAAUAAUCCAUGGUAGUGACAUCUUCUUCAUAAACUUUCUUAUCUUUGCUCAAAUCCAUCUAAACCCCAUAUACGAUUCAUCAGUAAAUACUAUGAGAUCUCAAGAAGCUCUAUCAGAAACCAAAUUUGGUGCCUUGACGCAACGUAAAAUCAGAAAGACGAUGCUGAGGAAGACAAGAAGAAGGAAACUGCUGGGUUAAAAAAGGAGGUGGUUUCACUUCUGCUCAAAGGUCAAGGAUGGAUGCAAGAUGAUACUUAUGAUACCCAUAACGGGUUCAAUCUGAAAACAGGUUUUACGUGCUCACUGUUUUAUGACCAUCCAAUUUUGAGGCAUCCUUGAGAUCGUAUUGUUGUUUUAGCCAUUUAGUAUAAAUCUAAUCAAUUUCUCAAGCUUUUUAUGUAUAGCUGAAGUACUUAAUUAUUGAUGACUGAUCUCUCCUGUCAAUGUAAUUCAUAUAAACCCUAUACUAUGUUAGCCAAUUGACAAUUAGUCGUUAUAAAAGCCGAUAUUUUGUU